This 460-nucleotide ribosomal RNA is filed under the name uncultured bacterium. Its description in RNAcentral is "partial 16S ribosomal RNA". It matches the Rfam family "Bacterial small subunit ribosomal RNA", at positions 338 to 795 of the family's 1533-position model. The record is from RNAcentral.
CCUAAGGGUGGCAGCAGUGAGGAAUAUUGGUCAAUGGCCGGAAGGCUGAACCAGCCAUGCCGCGUGAAGGUCAGUGCCCUAUGGGCGUUAAACUUCUUUUGUGCGGGAGCAAUAAUGGUCACGUGUGGCCAGACGAGAGUACCGUACGAAUAAGCAUCGGCUAACUCCGUGCCAGCAGCCGCGGUAAUACGGGGGAUGCAAGCGUUAUCCGGAUUUAUUGGGUUUAAAGGGUGCGUAGGCUGGGAGGUAAGUCAGCGGUGAAAUGCCCCCGCUCAACGGGGUGAAGUGCCAUUGAUACUGACUUGCUGGAAUGCGGAUGCGGUGGGAGGAAUGUGUGGUGUAGCGGUGAAAUGCAUAGAUAUCACACAGAACACCGAUUGCGAAGGCAUCUCACGAAUCCGCGAUUGACGCUGAUGCACGAAAGCGUGGGUAUCAAACAGGAUUAGAUACCCCUGUAGUC